RNAcentral lists this ribosomal RNA (308 nucleotides) under Psychrobacter urativorans. RNAcentral describes it as "bacterial SSU rRNA". It matches the Rfam family "Bacterial small subunit ribosomal RNA", at positions 10 to 318 of the family's 1533-position model. Lineage: Bacteria; Pseudomonadati; Pseudomonadota; Gammaproteobacteria; Moraxellales; Moraxellaceae. The record is from RNAcentral.
GAUUUGAUCCUGGCUCAGAUUGAACGCUGGCGGCAGGCUUAACACAUGCAAGUCGAGCGGAAACGAUGAUAGCUUGCUAUCAGGCGUCGAGCGGCGGACGGGUGAGUAAUACUUAGGAAUCUACCUAGUAGUGGGGGAUAGCACGGGGAAACUCGUAUUAAUACCGCAUACGACCUACGGGAGAAAGGGGGCAGUUUACUGCUCUCGCUAUUAGAUGAGCCUAAGUCGGAUUAGCUAGAUGGUGGGGUAAAGGCCUACCAUGGCGACGAUCUGUAGCUGGUCUGAGAGGAUGAUCAGCCACACCGGGA